GUGAAAAAAUGUUAGAAAUCUUGCUAAUAAGGUAUAAUGUUCACUUCUAACUUGAAAAAAAAAAAAUCUCUAACUCUAAGUAACAUUUAAUUAUAAAAUAACACUUUGUAGGUACAAUUAGUCAUUCCACGUCCCAAGCUUUUAAAAGAAGUAAACUUUCAGAUUACUAUAAUUUUACUUUCCUAUUUCUGCCAUUACCACAAAAGAAGAAAACUUGGAGAGAAGAGACUGCUUUGGCAAGAAUAUCAGGUGGGGUCAAAGGACACAGCCCAGUGUGGACGACUUGCAACAGCAAAUAAGUGGACCAGCUCAAUGUAGUAUCAGUGCAAUCAGCUAAUGGAGGAGGAUGAUGCAUCUGUUGUGAAAAUAUGUCAAAAACCUCGCAUUUGAACUAAAUACAGGUGAAAUACUACUUCAUGUUAUUCCCAUGCAAAAUAGCUUGAUGAAAAACAGUAGCAAAAUAAUA
Molecule: long non-coding RNA, 466 nt
Filed under: Anas platyrhynchos platyrhynchos (common mallard)
Lineage: Eukaryota; Metazoa; Chordata; Aves; Anseriformes; Anatidae
Description: lncRNA (ENSAPLG00000029968.1)
Source: RNAcentral